This 886-nucleotide ribosomal RNA is filed under the name uncultured Corynebacterium sp. RNAcentral describes it as "bacterial SSU rRNA". It matches the Rfam family "Bacterial small subunit ribosomal RNA", at positions 8 to 907 of the family's 1533-position model. Lineage: Bacteria; Bacillati; Actinomycetota; Actinomycetes; Mycobacteriales; Corynebacteriaceae. The record is from RNAcentral.
AGAGUUUGAUCCUGGCUCAGGACGAACGCUGGCGGCGUGCUUAACACAUGCAAGUCGAACGGUAAGGCCCCAGCUUGCUGGGGUACACGAGUGGCGAACGGGUGAGUAACACGUGGGUGACCUGCCCCGCACUUCGGGAUAAGCCUGGGAAACUGGGUCUAAUACCGGAUAGGACCGCACCGUGAGGGUGUGGUGGAAAGUUUUUCGGUGUGGGAUGGGCCCGCGGCCUAUCAGCUUGUUGGUGGGGUAAUGGCCUACCAAGGCGGCGACGGGUAGCCGGCCUGAGAGGGUGGACGGCCACAUUGGGACUGAGACACGGCCCAGACUCCUACGGGAGGCAGCAGUGGGGAAUAUUGCACAAUGGGCGGAAGCCUGAUGCAGCGACGCCGCGUGGGGGAUGACGGCCUUCGGGUUGUAAACUCCUUUCACCAUCGACGAAGGUUUUCUGACGGUAGAUGGAGAAGAAGCACCGGCUAACUACGUGCCAGCAGCCGCGGUAAUACGUAGGGUGCGAGCGUUGUCCGGAAUUACUGGGCGUAAAGAGCUCGUAGGUGGUUUGUCGCGUCGUCUGUGAAAUUCCGGGGCUUAACUCCGGGCGUGCAGGCGAUACGGGCAUAACUUGAGUACUGUAGGGGAGACUGGAAUUCCUGGUGUAGCGGUGAAAUGCGCAGAUAUCAGGAGGAACACCGGUGGCGAAGGCGGGUCUCUGGGCAGUAACUGACGCUGAGGAGCGAAAGCAUGGGUAGCGAACAGGAUUAGAUACCCUGGUAGUCCAUGCCGUAAACGGUGGGCGCUAGGUGUAGGGGUCUUCCACGACUUCUGUGCCGUAGCUAACGCAUUAAGCGCCCCGCCUGGGGAGUACGGGCCGCAAGGCUAAACUCAAAGG